This 138-nucleotide non-coding RNA is filed under the name Psychrobacter sp. Its description in RNAcentral is "Glycine sequence". It matches the Rfam family "Glycine riboswitch aptamer". Rfam says of the family: This family represents the bacterial glycine riboswitch. Glycine riboswitches usually consist of two metabolite-binding aptamers domains with similar structures in tandem. Lineage: Bacteria; Pseudomonadati; Pseudomonadota; Gammaproteobacteria; Moraxellales; Moraxellaceae. The record is from RNAcentral.
GGGCGUUUUUCAGGAGAGCGCAGUAAGCUUUUUAAGGCAAGUUAACUUCAUGUGAGUGAACCGCAUUAAUAAAUAAGACUGCCACCGAAGGCGUAAGCACCCUGCCAAUCGCUCAGGUAACCGGACUGAAUGACUCAU